UACGGAGGAUGCAAGCGUUAUCCGGAAUCAUUGGGCGUAAAGCGUCCGUAGGUGGCUUUUCAAGUCUGCCGUCAAAGACCGGGGCUUAACCCCAGAAAGGCGGUGGAAACUGAAUAGCUAGAGUGCAGUAGGGGUAGAGGGAAUUCCCGGUGUAGCGGUGAAAUGCGUAGAGAUCGGGAAGAACACCCGUGGCGAAAGCGGGUCUCUGGGCCGAUACUGACGCUGAGGAGCGAAAGCGUGGGGAGCGAACAGG
This 253-nucleotide ribosomal RNA is filed under the name uncultured bacterium. RNAcentral describes it as "partial 16S ribosomal RNA". It matches the Rfam family "Bacterial small subunit ribosomal RNA", at positions 524 to 776 of the family's 1533-position model. The record is from RNAcentral.